CAUUUAGAGGAAGUAAAAGUCGUAACAAGGUUUCCGUAGGUGAACCUGCGGAAGGAUCAUUAUCGUACAAGGCUGUCGCUGACCCUUAAGGUCGUGCACGCCCUGGCAUGUCCUCACAAAUCCACCUCACCCCUUUUGUGCAUCCCCGCGUGGGCCCCAAAGGGGGCCUGCGUUUUUCACACAGACAGUAUAGAAUGUCUUUUGCUUUAGUACGCAAUCAAUACAACUUUCAACAACGGAUCUCUUGGCUCUCGCAUCGAUGAAGAACGCAGCGAAAUGCGAUACGUAAUGUGAAUUGCAGAAUUCAGUGAAUCAUCGAAUCUUUGAACGCACCUUGCGCCCCUUGGCAUUCCGAGGGGCACACCCGUUUGAGUGUCGUGAAAUCCUCAACCUUCUCCCUUUUUUUGGGUUGGGGGAAAGGCUUGGACUUUGGAGGCUUUUUUGCUGGCCUCUUUCACUUGAAGCCAGCUCCUCUUAAAGGAAUUAGUGGGGUCCGCCUUUGCCGAUCCUUGACGUGAUAAGCUUUUUCUACUCGUCUUGAGAGGAGAAGCCCUGCUUCUAAUUGUCUCGUUGAGAACACGGGUGGUUUUGAAAGGUUUGCCCCUUUGACCCACCAAACCCCUUUUGACCUCAAAUCGGGUGAGACUACCCGCUGAACUUAAGCAUAUCAAUAAGCGGAGGAAAAGAAACUAACAAGGAUUCCCCUAGUAACUGCGAGUGAAGCGGGAAAAGCUCAAAUUUAAAAUCUGGGGUCUUUGGCCGUCCGAGUUGUAAUUAGAGAAGCGUCUUCCGCGCUGGA
This 799-nucleotide small RNA is filed under the name Lactifluus sp. 1 DM-2015. RNAcentral's name for it is "eukaryotic LSU rRNA". The stretch from base 225 to 378 matches the Rfam family "5.8S ribosomal RNA". The record is from RNAcentral. Lineage: Eukaryota; Fungi; Basidiomycota; Agaricomycetes; Russulales; Russulaceae.